Molecule: non-coding RNA, 602 nt
Organism: Pimephales promelas (fathead minnow)
Lineage: Eukaryota; Metazoa; Chordata; Actinopteri; Cypriniformes; Leuciscidae
Source: RefSeq, a predicted model, not a curated record
ACGAAAGAGAAAGUCUGUGGAGGAAAGAUCAGAGAUUAAAAAGAAAUGUAACGCCAGACUCUAAGUAGGAUAAAUAUAGGGUCCAACAUUGACCGCUGGAGGAAGCUUCAGGGAGAUCUGGGACUAAAAACAACGCUGACACGGAUGACUUUUUGUUGAGCAGUGUCAUGCAUUGGAGAGUCCCGUGGGCGCCCGGUCAUUAGAGACUCAAGGAAUAACUCACUGUUAUUCACAUCACAUCACACCUCAGCAUUUCGUUCUAUGUUUAAAGGUUACCAGUAAAGUCAAACAAUGCAUUGUUAACAGGUCACAAAUGUUUUGAUCUGUUGUGUUUUUCAUAAAGACACACCUAAUUGAAAAAGAAAUGACUGAGUUUAACAUGCAGAAGACUUUACUGUGAACUCUAAACUAAUACAAAUUCCAUUCUCAUCAUGUUUUUGUAAUAUCUGUUGAGUAACAAAUGAACACAAACCAGAUUAAAACCAUAAUGAAAUGCAUAAACUACAGUCUCUGUUGAACAUUUUUGCUAAGUUGUGUUUUGUAAUUGCGUUUUGCUGUUGAAACUUCACCGAAAACCCUAAAAUAAAAUGAAGUGCAAAUUA